RNAcentral lists this transfer RNA (74 nucleotides) under Chimaphila japonica. RNAcentral describes it as "tRNA-His". The stretch from base 9 to 66 matches the Rfam family "tRNA", at positions 9 to 63 of the family's 71-position model. From Rfam's summary of the family: Transfer RNA (tRNA) molecules are approximately 80 nucleotides in length. The record is from RNAcentral. Lineage: Eukaryota; Viridiplantae; Streptophyta; Magnoliopsida; Ericales; Ericaceae.
ACGGAGGCAGCCAAGUGGAUUAAGGCAGUGAAUUGUGAAUUCACCGCGCGCGGGUUCAAUUCCCGCCGCUCGCC